Molecule: ribosomal RNA, 273 nt
Filed under: uncultured bacterium
Lineage: Bacteria
Description: partial 16S ribosomal RNA
Rfam family: Bacterial small subunit ribosomal RNA
Source: RNAcentral
AACGUAGGUUCCGAGCGUUAUCCGGAUUUACUGGGCGUAAAGCGUGUUCAGGCGGCUGGACAAGUCGGGCAUGAAAUCUCUCGGCUCAACCGGGAGAGGCUGUCCGAAACUGUUCGGCUGGAGGGCAGUAGAGGGUGGUGGAAUUCCGGGUGUAGUGGUGAAAUGCGUAGAUAUCCGGAGGAACACCAGUGGCGAAAGCGGCCACCUGGACUGUACCUGACGCUCAAACACGAAAGCUAGGGGAGCGAACGGGAUUAGAAACCCCUGUAGUCC